GUUCUGGUCCUGUGCAACGGACGGCGCCGAACCUCGUCAGGCCCGGAAGGGAGCAGCGAUAAGGCUCACCGACCGUGUGCCGCAGAUCCACCGGAACCCU
RNAcentral lists this signal recognition particle RNA (100 nucleotides) under Acidobacteriota bacterium. RNAcentral's name for it is "signal recognition particle sRNA small type". It matches the Rfam family "Bacterial small signal recognition particle RNA". Rfam says of the family: The signal recognition particle (SRP) is a universally conserved ribonucleoprotein involved in the co-translational targeting of proteins to membranes. Archaeal SRP consists of a 7S RNA and homologues of the eukaryotic SRP19 and SRP54 proteins. In most bacteria, the SRP consists of a 4.5S RNA and the Ffh protein (a homologue of the eukaryotic SRP54 protein). Lineage: Bacteria; Pseudomonadati; Acidobacteriota. The record is from RNAcentral.